This 433-nucleotide ribosomal RNA is filed under the name uncultured bacterium. RNAcentral's name for it is "partial 16S ribosomal RNA". It matches the Rfam family "Bacterial small subunit ribosomal RNA", at positions 29 to 507 of the family's 1533-position model. The record is from RNAcentral.
AACGAACGCUGGCGGCAGGCCUAACACAUGCAAGUCGAGCGGACCUACCGGGGUCAGCGGCGGACGGGGGAGUAACGCGUGGGAAUAUGCACUUCUCUACGGAAUAGUCAUGGGAAACUGGGGGUAAUACCGUACAGGCGCUAAGGGGGAAAGAUCUAUCGGGGAAGGAUGUGCCCGAGUUGCAUUCGGUAGUUGGUUUGGUAAUGGAAUCCUAAGCGGACGAUCAAUAGCUGGGUAGAGAGAAUGAUCAGCAACACUGGGACGGGGACACGGCCCAGACUCCUACGGGAUGCAGCAGUGCGGAAUCGUAGACAACCGCGGCAACGAUGAUCGUGCCAGGCUGCGUGAGUUAUGUAGUCCUUAGGGUUGUAAAGCUCUUUCAGCUGGGAACAUAUUGACGGUACCAGCAGAAGAAGCCCCGGCUAACUCCGUG